UGUAAGGUAACGGCUUACCAUGGCAAUGAUGGGUAGGGGGUCCUGAGAGGAGAUCCCCCACACUGGUACUGAGACACGGACCAGACUCCUACGGGAGGCAGCAGUGAGGAAUAUUGGACAAUGGGCGCAAGCCUGAUCCAGCCAUGCCGCGUGCAGGAAUAAGGUCCUAUGGAUUGUAAACUGCUUUAUACAGGAAGAAACACACCCUCGUGAGGGUACUUGACGGUACUGUAUGAAUAAGGACCGGCUAACUCCGUG
RNAcentral lists this ribosomal RNA (258 nucleotides) under uncultured bacterium. RNAcentral describes it as "partial 16S ribosomal RNA". It matches the Rfam family "Bacterial small subunit ribosomal RNA", at positions 251 to 507 of the family's 1533-position model. The record is from RNAcentral.